Molecule: long non-coding RNA, 874 nt
Organism: Bactrocera latifrons
Lineage: Eukaryota; Metazoa; Arthropoda; Insecta; Diptera; Tephritidae
Exons: 4
Source: RefSeq, a predicted model, not a curated record
UUAAACGUGAAUAUUUUAAAAAACAUUUGUUAUUUUUAUAUUGUUUUUUGGAUUUUCCUCCACUGGGGGAGUUCCGUUAUCCGUACAAACCCCAUUUCUACGGAAAUUCGGUGUUUUUACCCCUCCGCCAAAGUAAUCGGAUUCGUGCCCUAAAACAUAUCCUUAUGUAACUUUUUGUCUUGAACCGGAAAAUUCUAUCGUAAGAGUAGCAACAUUCAUCAUACGAAAAUUUUUAAUGUGUGAAAAUGAGACGCACACAUUGGCAGUGAAUCCGUCAACAUUUGCCGCCAUUGAAACGCCAUGCGAAGAAAAAUUUUAGUGGGCCUCAGUGUGUAAUACAGCUCGCUAUACCAAAAAAGGGUUAAGCAAGAACAAACGCGUCGCAUAAUAGAGAGUGUAGUUCCGACAAUAACGAUAACAAAAAAAUGGGCAUUCAAAUGGUUGAUAGGUGAUACGCGUUUACAGCAGGCAUUAGGAACCUUGGCGAAAAGGUGCUGGUGGGUCGUCGAAUAACGUGACAUUGUCGAUAGAAAUUCUAAUGUGUGCAGUUAAAUAAAAUGUGUGUCGCUUGGCCAAUAACAAUGUAUUGGUAGUCACUUUUCCAGAAUACGAUGCUUUUAAAAUAUUUAUGUGGGGUAUGAAUGACAGAAAUAGUCAGGGUGCGCAGAGUUCGUUGGCGGAAUGGGUGUAAAAGUGAGCGAUUUACCAAUGCCUGAAACUGAUAAGACAAAACUUGACGAAUAUAUUGAUAAAAUUUACAAUAUAGUGGGAAAAUAUGUUAGCAAAUUUUGGAGGAAAAAUCUCCAGUCGGACUCAAUCACUAUUAUUAUUAUAUUUAAAUUACUCAAUACUAUUUUUUUAAUGUUAUUUUUAA